This 20-nucleotide non-coding RNA is filed under the name Arabidopsis thaliana (thale cress). The record is from RNAcentral. Lineage: Eukaryota; Viridiplantae; Streptophyta; Magnoliopsida; Brassicales; Brassicaceae.
GGCCCAUUAGCUCAGUUGGU